GGGAGUAGAUGGGUGCUGGUGUGCCCCACGGUCUUCAAAACCGAUGUUGGCGUGAUGAGCGCCUGGGUGGGUUCGAUUCCCACAUAUUCCCGCCA
Molecule: transfer RNA, 95 nt
Filed under: Clostridiales bacterium
Lineage: Bacteria; Bacillati; Bacillota; Clostridia; Eubacteriales
Description: tRNA-Sec
Rfam family: Selenocysteine transfer RNA
Source: RNAcentral